This 493-nucleotide ribosomal RNA is filed under the name uncultured bacterium. RNAcentral describes it as "partial 16S ribosomal RNA". It matches the Rfam family "Bacterial small subunit ribosomal RNA", at positions 29 to 523 of the family's 1533-position model. The record is from RNAcentral.
AUUGAACGCUGGCGGCAUGCUUUACACAUGCAAGUCGAACGGUAACAGGUUAAGCUGACGGGUGGCGAACGGGUGAGUAAUGCAUCGGAACGUGCCCGAUCGUGGGGGAUAACGCAGCGAAAGCUGCGCUAAUACCGCAUACGAUCUGAGGAUGAAAGCGGGGGACCGUAAGGCCUCGCGCGAUCGGAGCGGCCGAUGUCAGAUUAGGUAGUUGGUGGGGUAAAGGCUCACCAAGCCAACGAUCUGUAGCUGGUCUGAGGGGACGACCAGCCACACUGGGACUGAGACACGGCCCAGACGCCUACGGGAGGCAGCAGUGGGGAAUUUUGGACAAUGGGCGAAAGCCUGAUCCAGCAAUGCCGCGUGCAGGAAGAAGGCCUUCGGGUUGUAAACUGCUUUUGUACGGAGCGAAAAGGUUCUCUCUAAUACAGAGGGCUCAUGACGGUACCGUAAGAAUAAGCACCGGCUAACUACGUGCCAGCAGCCGCCGUAA